Molecule: ribosomal RNA, 253 nt
Filed under: uncultured bacterium
Lineage: Bacteria
Description: partial 16S ribosomal RNA
Rfam family: Bacterial small subunit ribosomal RNA
Source: RNAcentral
UACAGAGGGUGCUAGCGUUAAUCGGAAUUACUGGGCGUAAAGCGUGUGUAGGUGGUUGAAUAAGUUAGAUGUGAAAACCCUGGGCUUAACCUGGGAACUGCGUAUAAGACUGUUUGACUAGAGUAUUGUAGAGGAUAGUGGAAUUUCCAGUGUAGCGGUGAAAUGCGUAGAUAUUGGAAGGAACACCAGUGGCGAAGGCGACUAUCUGGACAGAUACUGACACUGAGACACGAAAGCGUGGGGAGCAAACAGG